This 253-nucleotide ribosomal RNA is filed under the name uncultured bacterium. Its description in RNAcentral is "partial 16S ribosomal RNA". It matches the Rfam family "Bacterial small subunit ribosomal RNA", at positions 524 to 776 of the family's 1533-position model. The record is from RNAcentral.
UACAGAGGUCCCAAGCGUUGUUCGGAUUCACUGGGCGUAAAGGGUGCGUAGGUGGCAGUGUAAGUCUGAUGUGAAAGCUUCGAGCUUAACUCGAAAAUGGCAUUGGAUACUAUAUUGCUGGAGGUUUGGAGGGGGGACUGGAAUUCUCGGUGUAGCAGUGAAAUGCGUAGAUAUCGAGAGGAACACCGGUGGCGAAGGCGAGUCCCUGGACAACACCUGACACUGAGGCACGAUAGCUAGGGGAGCAAGCAGG